This 253-nucleotide ribosomal RNA is filed under the name uncultured bacterium. Its description in RNAcentral is "partial 16S ribosomal RNA". It matches the Rfam family "Bacterial small subunit ribosomal RNA", at positions 524 to 776 of the family's 1533-position model. The record is from RNAcentral.
UACGUAGGGGGCAAGCGUUGUCCGGAUUUAUUGGGCGUAAAGAGCGUGUAGGCGGCUUUACAGGUCCGCUGUGAAAACUCGGGGCUCAACUCCGAGCUUGCAGUCGAUACGGGCAGGCUAGAGUUCGGCAGGGGAGACUGGAAUUCCUGGUGUAGCGGUGAAAUGCGCAGAUAUCAGGAGGAACACCAGUGGCGAAGGCGGUUCUCUGGGCAUUACCUGACGCUGAGGAGCGAAAGUGUGGGGAGCGAACAGG